AGGUUGGGAUCAGUUGCAAUGCU
RNAcentral lists this microRNA (23 nucleotides) under Chrysemys picta bellii (western painted turtle). RNAcentral describes it as "Cpi-Mir-92-P1a_5p* (star (passenger))". The record is from RNAcentral. RNAcentral also lists the same sequence under 15 other names. Lineage: Eukaryota; Metazoa; Chordata; Testudines; Emydidae.